This 299-nucleotide long non-coding RNA is filed under the name Helianthus annuus (common sunflower). RNAcentral's name for it is "sRNA HanXRQr2_Chr01g0043571". Lineage: Eukaryota; Viridiplantae; Streptophyta; Magnoliopsida; Asterales; Asteraceae. The record is from RNAcentral.
UGCAUCUGGUGUUAGUUCGGUUAUACCAGAAAUAAACUGUUUUAAUUCAUUCCCGUAACAAACAUGAAGAGUUGCAACUGCCACACCAGCCGCAAGCGGAUGCCAUCUUUUUAAUAUUGGACUAAACAUUUUCUUUUCUUUUGUUGCUAAUUCACCAACGUCUUUCGCGAGAAUAGCGAGAAUGGGAAGUGGGUUCGGUUGGUUUCUUGAUGCCCGCCUGCUUGAAUCUGCUUUCUCCAUUAUCUGCGUGCAUUAACAAGCAAAAUUUCAAAACAUUUAUAACUCUAGCAAAAAAGUAG